AGUCACUGACAUUAGAUACCCCUGUAGUCCAGGGUGUAAACGCUGCAGACUUGGUGUUGGGAACCCUUCGGGGGUGCUCAGUGCCGGAGAGAAGUUGUUAAGUCUGCUACUUGGGAGUACGUCCGCAAGGCUGAAACUUAAAGGAAUUGGCGGGGGAGCACAACAACGGGUGGAGCUUGCGGUUUAAUUGGAUUCAACGCCGGAAAUCUUACCGGGACCGACAGCAACAUGAAGGCCAAGCUGAAGACUUUGCCGGAUUAGCUG
RNAcentral lists this ribosomal RNA (264 nucleotides) under uncultured archaeon. RNAcentral's name for it is "partial 16S ribosomal RNA". It matches the Rfam family "Archaeal small subunit ribosomal RNA", at positions 718 to 982 of the family's 1478-position model. The record is from RNAcentral.